This 410-nucleotide ribosomal RNA is filed under the name Pseudothemis zonata. RNAcentral's name for it is "partial 16S ribosomal RNA". It matches the Rfam family "Archaeal large subunit ribosomal RNA", at positions 1889 to 2551 of the family's 2987-position model. The record is from RNAcentral. Lineage: Eukaryota; Metazoa; Arthropoda; Insecta; Odonata; Libellulidae.
CGCCUGUUUAACAAAAACAUGUCCUUUUGAAUUUAAUUUAAGGUCUAGCCUGCCCAGUGAAUAUUUUAACGGCCGCGGUAUACUGACCGUGCAAAGGUAGCAUAAUCAUUAGUCUUUUAAUAGAGGGCUGGAAUGAAAGGUUUCACGAGGAAUAAGCUGUCUCAUUUUAUUUGUUUUAAAAUUUAAUUUUUUAGUUAAAAAGCUAAAAUAUUGUUGGAAGACGAGAAGACCCUAUAGAUCUUUAUAGGGACUUAUUUAAAUAUUUAUAUAUUAAUGUAUUUACAUGAUUCUCUAUUUUGUUGGGGUGACAAAAAUAUAUAAUUAACUUUUUUAUUUAAUUAACAUUGAUUAAUGAAUAUAUGAUCCACUAUUAGUGAUUAUUAGAUUAAGUUACCUUAGGGAUAACAGCG